Molecule: unclassified non-coding RNA, 376 nt
Filed under: Hevea brasiliensis (rubber tree)
Lineage: Eukaryota; Viridiplantae; Streptophyta; Magnoliopsida; Malpighiales; Euphorbiaceae
Source: RNAcentral
AAUCAAGAUGAUACCCUUCAAUUCGCCGCCUCUGGAUAUUGGAUUCACAAUGACUCGAGCUUUACAUGCUUUCAUUGCUGAAAGUCCAACUCUCAACUCCGUCCUCGCCGCAAGCAACACUGUCUUUGUUCUCAUGCAAACUGUUUACAUACUUUGGACGUUGCUGGUGGAGGGGAGGCCUCGGCCCACCAUUGCUACUAUCUUCAUGUUCACAUGUAGAGGCAUACUUGGUAGCUGGACUCAGCUGCCACUGCCUCAGGAUUUUCUCGGAUCAGGGAUGGAUUUCCCUGUGGGCAAUGUGUCCUUCUUCCUCUUCUACUCCGGCCAUGUGGCUGGGGCAGUGAUUGCAUCAUUGGACAUGCGGCGGAUGAGGCGG